AUUUGUAUAGUUUAUAAAAAACAUUAUAUUUUCAUUAUAAAAAAAAUAUUAUAUAUUUAUAAAUA
Molecule: transfer RNA, 65 nt
Filed under: Eustenogaster scitula
Lineage: Eukaryota; Metazoa; Arthropoda; Insecta; Hymenoptera; Vespidae
Description: tRNA-Glu
Source: RNAcentral